GCAGAGCGGUUGAACGCAUCAGUCUUGAAAACUGACAAGGGUGCAAGCCCUUCCUGGGUUCGAAUCCCAGUCUCUCCGCCA
Molecule: transfer RNA, 81 nt
Filed under: Pelagibacteraceae bacterium TMED259
Lineage: Bacteria; Pseudomonadati; Pseudomonadota; Alphaproteobacteria; Candidatus Pelagibacterales; Candidatus Pelagibacteraceae
Description: tRNA-Ser
Rfam family: tRNA
About the family: Transfer RNA (tRNA) molecules are approximately 80 nucleotides in length. Their secondary structure includes four short double-helical elements and three loops (D, anti-codon, and T loops).
Source: RNAcentral